Molecule: long non-coding RNA, 274 nt
Organism: Thalassophryne amazonica
Lineage: Eukaryota; Metazoa; Chordata; Actinopteri; Batrachoidiformes; Batrachoididae
Exons: 3
Source: RefSeq, a predicted model, not a curated record
GGAACACAGUGCAAUGCAGCAGAUAACCAAAACAAUUGUUCAGUUUGUGAUAAAAGCAUGAAAUGUGGCACACAUAUUCUAAAUUAACUAAUGUUUAUUUUCAGAUAUGGAGACAUCCUGGAGGUGACCUCUAAUGAACUACAGGGGUCAGUAAAGAAUUACACGGGUCAAAAUAUAAAAAUUCUCCAAUCAUGUUGAAAACUAUACCACACUAUUUGUGUGAUCAUAAGGAUUCCAAAAAUGUAUAGUUUGGGCUAUCCAUGACUGAAUGUUA